ACGAACGCUGGCGGCAGGCCUAACACAUGCAGGUCGAGCGAGGACUUCGGUUCUAGCGGCGGACGGGUGAGUAACGCGUGGGAAUGUGCCCUUCUCUACGGAAUAGCCCUGGGAAACUGGGAGUAAUACCGUAUACGCCCUAUUGGGGAAAGAUUUAUCGGAGAAGGAUCAGCCCGCGUUGGAUUAGGUAGUUGGUGGGGUAAUGGCCUACCAAGCCGACGAUCCAUAGCUGGUUUGAGAGGAUGAUCAGCCACACUGGGACUGAGACACGGCCCAGACUCCUACGGGAGGCAGCAGUGGGGAAUCUUAGACAAUGGGGGCAACCCUGAUCUAGCCAUGCCGCGUGAGUGAUGAAGGCCUUAGGGUUGUAAAGCUCUUUCAGCUGGGAAGAUAAUGACGGUACCAGCAGAAGAAGCCCCGGCUAACUCCGUG
This 432-nucleotide ribosomal RNA is filed under the name uncultured bacterium. Its description in RNAcentral is "partial 16S ribosomal RNA". It matches the Rfam family "Bacterial small subunit ribosomal RNA", at positions 29 to 507 of the family's 1533-position model. The record is from RNAcentral.